ACCUCUGGCCAGAAAGAUAAAUGUUUCUUGGAGUUUGCUGUGUGUUACAUAAUUUCUCAAUUUGGUCUACUGUUGUGUCAAAGCUGAGAGAUAAAGAUGGAGAAAAAAAUACAAGGGACUCUUAACUGCCAUAUUGUUAUUCAGUGUUUUGCCUUCCUGCCCCAAUCUACCUGCUAUUAAUCAUCGAUCACUUUUCAGAAGUCUCAGUACCACAAGGAGUUCUGGACACAGAAUUGAUGUCUCCUCAGCAUCGGAUGAAUCUGCAGACAGAAUGCACUUGGCUCUCCAGAAUUCCAGCUGGGAAAGAGGUCCUGAAUGAUUCAUUGUUAUCAAUUAAAUUUACUAUAGCA
Molecule: long non-coding RNA, 350 nt
Organism: Pan troglodytes (chimpanzee)
Lineage: Eukaryota; Metazoa; Chordata; Mammalia; Primates; Hominidae
Exons: 2
Source: RefSeq, a predicted model, not a curated record